RNAcentral lists this ribosomal RNA (300 nucleotides) under uncultured Collinsella sp. RNAcentral's name for it is "bacterial SSU rRNA". It matches the Rfam family "Bacterial small subunit ribosomal RNA", at positions 496 to 795 of the family's 1533-position model. Lineage: Bacteria; Bacillati; Actinomycetota; Coriobacteriia; Coriobacteriales; Coriobacteriaceae. The record is from RNAcentral.
UCAAACUCUGUGACGUCGUCCGCGGUAAGAUAGAGGUCCCAAGCGUUGUUCGGAUUCACUGGGCGUAAAGGGUGCGUAGGUGGCAGGGUAAGUUUGAUGUGAAAUCUCCGAGCUUAACUCGGAAACUGCAUUGAAUACUAUCUUGCUCGAGGUUUGGAAGGGGGACUGGAAUUCUCGGUGUAGCAGUGAAAUGCGUAGAUAUCGAGAGGAACACCAGUGGCGAAGGCGAGUCCCUGGACAACACCUGACACUGAGGCACGAAAGCUAGGGGAGCAAACAGGAUUAGAUACCCGAGUAGUC